RNAcentral lists this ribosomal RNA (244 nucleotides) under Buchnera aphidicola. RNAcentral's name for it is "partial 23S ribosomal RNA". It matches the Rfam family "Bacterial large subunit ribosomal RNA", at positions 1194 to 1439 of the family's 2925-position model. The record is from RNAcentral. Lineage: Bacteria; Pseudomonadati; Pseudomonadota; Gammaproteobacteria; Enterobacterales; Erwiniaceae. RNAcentral also lists the same sequence under 1 other name.
CCGAAGAUAUGGGUGUGCACUUUGUGCAUGCGGUAGCGGAGCGUUCCGUAGGCCGGUGAAGGUCAGGCGUGAGCCUGGCUGGAGGUAUCGGAAGUGAGAAUGCUGACAUGAGUAACGAUAAGAGUGUGAGAGACACUCUCGCCGAAAGACCAAGGGUUCCUGCGUAAAGCUAAUCUGCGCAGGGUUAGUCGGCCCCUAAGGCGAGGCUGAAAAGCGUAGUCGAUGGGAAGCAGGUAAAUAUUCC